RNAcentral lists this ribosomal RNA (492 nucleotides) under uncultured bacterium. Its description in RNAcentral is "partial 16S ribosomal RNA". It matches the Rfam family "Bacterial small subunit ribosomal RNA", at positions 29 to 507 of the family's 1533-position model. The record is from RNAcentral.
AGUGAACGCUGGCGGUAGGCCUAACACAUGCAAGUCGAACGGCAGCACAGUAAGAGCUUGCUCUUACGGGUGGCGAGUGGCGGACGGGUGAGGAAUACAUCGGAAUCUACUUUUUCGUGGGGGAUAACGUAGGGAAACUUACGCUAAUACCGCAUACGACCUACGGGUGAAAGCAGGGGAUCUUCGGACCUUGCGCGAUUGAAUGAGCCGAUGUCGGAUUAGCUAGUUGGCGGGGUAAAGGCCCACCAAGGCGACGAUUCGUAGCUGGUCUGAGAGGAUGAUCGGCCACACUGGAACUGAGACACGGUCCAGACUCCUACGGGAGGCAGCAGUGGGGAAUAUUGGGCAAUGGGCGCAAGCCUGAUCCAGCCAUACCGCGUGGGUGAAGAAGGCCUUCGGGUUGUAAAGCCCUUUUGUUGGGAAAGAAAAGCAGCAGGUUAAUACCCCGCUGUUCUGACGGUACCCAAUGAAUAAGCACCGGCUAACUUCGUG